AGGACGAACGCUGGCGGCGUGCUUAACACAUGCAAGUCGAGCGGAAAGGCCCUUCGGGGUACUCGAGCGGCGAACGGGUGAGUAACACGUGAGUAAUCUGCCCCUAGCUCUGGGAUAGCUCCGGGAAACCGGGAUUAAUACCAGAUACGACCACUUUAGACAUCUUCUGUGGUGGAAAGAACUUCGGCUAGGGAUGAACUCGCGGCCUAUCAGCUUGUUGGUGAGGUAACGGCUCACCAAGGCGACGACGGGUAGCCGGCCUGAGAGGGCGACCGGCCACACUGGGACUGAGACACGGCCCAGACUCCUACGGGAGGCAGCAGUGGGGAAUAUUGCGCAAUGGGCGAAAGCCUGACGCAGCGACGCCGCGUGGGGGAUGAAGGCCUUCGGUUGUAACCCCUUUCAGCAGGACGAAGCGAAAGUGACGGUACCUGCAGAAGAAGCGCCGGCUAACUACGUGCCAGCAGCCGC
This 471-nucleotide ribosomal RNA is filed under the name uncultured bacterium. RNAcentral's name for it is "SSU rRNA". It matches the Rfam family "Bacterial small subunit ribosomal RNA", at positions 26 to 518 of the family's 1533-position model. The record is from RNAcentral.